Molecule: transfer RNA, 76 nt
Filed under: Tissierellia bacterium
Lineage: Bacteria; Bacillati; Bacillota; Tissierellia
Description: tRNA-Lys
Rfam family: tRNA
About the family: Transfer RNA (tRNA) molecules are approximately 80 nucleotides in length. Their secondary structure includes four short double-helical elements and three loops (D, anti-codon, and T loops). Further hydrogen bonds mediate the characteristic L-shaped molecular structure. tRNAs have two regions of fundamental functional importance: the anti-codon, which is responsible for specific mRNA codon recognition, and the 3' end, to which the tRNAs corresponding amino acid is attached (by aminoacyl-tRNA synthetases). tRNAs cope with the degeneracy of the genetic code in two manners: having more than one tRNA (with a specific anti-codon) for a particular amino acid; and 'wobble' base-pairing, i.e. permitting non-standard base-pairing at the 3rd anti-codon position.
Source: RNAcentral
GUGCCUUUGGCUCAGUUGGUAGAGCAACUGACUCUUAAUCAGUGGGUCCAGGGUUCGAGUCCCUGAAGGCGCACCA